GCUGCCGGGUCGGGAACAAAGACAGAGGCAGCAGCGAGGAAAAGCAAGAGGAGACAGAAAAACAAGCAGAUUGGAGGGAGAAAGUUUCGGGGCUUGGCAGCCAAUAAAUUCAUGGUACUACCCACCGAGUUUCCCAAGCAGCCAGGUGUUUGAUGAGAAACCCGCAGGAGCCGCAGUUACAGAAGUGAUUCAACCCGGAUCAACAAUGGCGACAAGGAAGCUGAGUGAAACUCUGCUGUCUCUGUGUCAAACAUCCUGAAGGUUGUCUCUACAACUGGAGCAAGAGUGAAGCAGUGGUGUGUGACGGGCCGAAGGACCUCCAGAGGUCAGAGAGGAACACACAGACACACCUGCACUGCCUCCAGAUGCCCAUGCAGAGACCUGUGGCUUAUGCUGCACAAACCAGCAACAACAGAACGGUCAGAAGUGAUGAGCAAGCUGACAAUCUCACAAAGACCACACCGAGUCACACCUCUCAGUCUGGUGGAAAUGGCAGCGCUCUGAGUGGAGAGCCAGUGACUCACUGCUGCAGCUGACGGCCUGUUGGAAGGGCCGCAGCGCCAAAGGAGGGAGUCAAUAACCGAGGUGCGCUCACAGAUUUAAAAAUGCAUGAGCAGGUCAAACAGUGGGGCUCCGAAUGCGUGUUACUGGAGAGAUGACUCAUGGCUGUCUGCAGCACAACUGGGAGCUUGACUUUGCCACCAUCUGGCCGUCUGACCCGUUCGCUCUCUCUGCUCGCUGCAGAAGGACAAAAUAUUUCUGCUAGAAACUCAGAAACUGAUAGCAUUACUUUUUAUUCUGCGGCCAACGUUUCUCCCAGAGUGUGGCUCGAAUGAUUUGUAGACCUUAAAGCAGGGCAUCAAACUCAUUUUCAUUUUGUGCUGUAUCAAACAUCUGAAUGUUCUUAAAGGGCCGGUAGUGUCAGGAUGUAUGGAUAAAACCAACUAGUCAAAACUCAAGGAACGGGGGCCAAAUCUGGCCGCCGCAGCUUUUUCAGUGGCCCAAAUUACAUCUAUGAUUUCCCCCAGUUUUUCACAAAUCUGCAAAAUUCACACAAAAUCAACAAAUCCCCAGAUUUUUUCAGAUUUUUCAGAUUUUUCUUAAAAUUGGGCGAAAACAUUAAGUUUAAGUGAAUGCUGUCUCAGCCUGACUUGAUGUCAAGUCAUAGUCCGUGACCAAUACGGCAAGUAAUAAAAAGUUACAUUUAGCAUCCUACUUUACCGCAAACAUCAUAAAAAUUCCUCACAAAUAUUCCUAACUUAGCACCACGAAAUCUAUGAAUUUGAUUGCAAAAAAUAACACAAAAACAAUCACGAAACUGUGGAUGAACUGACCAGUGUGAAAGGAUGUUAAAUGUGAUUUAAUUUUAAGAAAAUCUUGUUGAAUACUGAAACAGCUAUUUAUUGAAAUGUAGUGGGUUUUAUCAACACGUUCUGGCCCUUUAAGAACAUUCAGGUCCAGGAUUUUGUGAAUGUUUUUUUUUUUUUUAAUGCUCCCAGUUAUAAACAAUAACAUGUUGAGGUUUUAUAACAACUGAAGGCAACAUAUUAUGCAAUAAAAUGCCAUUAUGGACCUGGAAAAUUCACAA
Gambusia affinis (western mosquitofish) is the source of this 1588-nucleotide long non-coding RNA. RefSeq lists it as uncharacterized. The transcript is spliced from 3 exons. The record is from RefSeq and is a predicted model, not a curated record. NCBI's taxonomy places the organism in Eukaryota, Metazoa, Chordata, Actinopteri, Cyprinodontiformes, Poeciliidae.